UACGGAGGUUGCUAGCGUUGUUCGGAAUCACUGGGCGUAAAGGGGGCGCAGGCGGUCGGGUCAGUCUGAAGUGAAAGCCCGGGGCUCAACCCCGGAAUUGCUUUGGAUACUGCCUGACUAGAGUGCGUGAGAGGAGAGCGGAAUUCCAGGUGUAGCGGUGAAAUGCGUAGAUAUCUGGAGGAACAUCGGUGGCGAAAGCGGCUCUCUGGCACGCAACUGACGCUGAGGCCCGAAAGCGUGGGUAGCGAACGGG
RNAcentral lists this unclassified non-coding RNA (253 nucleotides) under Candidatus Hydrogenedens sp. RNAcentral's name for it is "partial 16S ribosomal RNA". It matches the Rfam family "Bacterial small subunit ribosomal RNA", at positions 524 to 776 of the family's 1533-position model. Lineage: Bacteria; Pseudomonadati; Candidatus Hydrogenedentota; Candidatus Hydrogenedentia; Candidatus Hydrogenedentales; Candidatus Hydrogenedentaceae. RNAcentral also lists the same sequence under 1 other name. The record is from RNAcentral.